UACGUAGGGGUCGAGCGUUGUCCGGAGUUACUGGGCGUAAAGCGCAUGCAGGCGGCUCAUUACGCACGGCGUGAAAGCCCCCGGCUCAACCGGGGAGGGUCGUCGUGUACGGGUGAGCUUGAGGGUAUCAGGGGCUGGUGGAAUUCCCGGUGUAGUGGUGAAAUGCGUAGAGAUCGGGAGGAACACCUGUGGCGAAGGCGGCCAGCUGGGAUACACCUGACGCUGAGAUGCGAAGGCGUGGGGAGCGAACGGGAUUAGAAACCCUGUAGUCC
Molecule: ribosomal RNA, 272 nt
Filed under: uncultured prokaryote
Description: partial 16S ribosomal RNA
Rfam family: Bacterial small subunit ribosomal RNA
Source: RNAcentral